This is a long non-coding RNA of Papaver somniferum (opium poppy), 720 nucleotides long. RefSeq lists it as uncharacterized. The transcript has 2 exons. NCBI's taxonomy places the organism in Eukaryota, Viridiplantae, Streptophyta, Magnoliopsida, Ranunculales, Papaveraceae. The record is from RefSeq and is a predicted model, not a curated record.
GAGGAUGGUAUUUGUACACUCCUUCCGUGCCUAGUUGAAGUUCCCCUUAGUCGAUCUUCUCCUGGAAGAUGUCCUUCAAUUUGUUUCAAUUUGUUCUCAGAAUCUUAAUCGAACAGAAUGAAUCAAACACCAAAUCGAGAUUGUUUGAUACAGAGAAAUUGCUACCUGAAUUAGAGAUUUUUCUUUUCUGAAUACUUUUUCCAACAUUUGGUGAUUGGGUUUUCGAUUUUUCGAUUUUUUCCUUUUUUUUUUUUGGAGAUUGGAAAAUUUUGUGAGGAAGAAGAAAGAUAUCAAAAACUAAUUGACCGCACUGAUGGUUAGAAAAUUGAGACGACUGCUUCGAAAGUUCAAUUUCUCCAACGAAUUUUCCUCCAACCUCUUCAAAUCCUACCAACGCAUUUCACUUAGGACUCCACCAAUCUAACUAGGUGUGCAGGAGAGAUGUGAAACUUAGUUGCUGGUGGUGGCCAUUGAGCUAUGGUGACUGAUUCACGUUCGUUGGAAGAGUUGUUUGAAUUUGGCCUUGGUGACAGUGUGACUCCUUGAAAUGCGCAUGUGAUAAGUUGCUUACACAAAUAUUUUUGUAGAGGUCUUGAAACGGAACGGCUGUCGUAUCGUCCUUGCAUCUUUGCGAACAUGUUACUGCCCAAAUGUAAUGUGUGAGAACGUUUUAUUAUGUGUGUAGAAUUAAGAGAUUAUUCCAUGGAAAUUUGUUUUGUA